Molecule: long non-coding RNA, 1408 nt
Organism: Diceros bicornis minor
Lineage: Eukaryota; Metazoa; Chordata; Mammalia; Perissodactyla; Rhinocerotidae
Exons: 4
Source: RefSeq, a predicted model, not a curated record
ACGCAUACGUGUGCACAGCCAUCAGGCCUGGAGGUGAAGCCCCUGACACUGCCCACUGGGCCCGGCCUGGCCUGGCAUCGCUGACCUCCCCAGCCCUUUGCAACCAUGUGGGGCUGGACCCCGCCCACGCCCAGCUCCCCGCACCCUGUGCUCUCGCCCGCCCUACGUCUCUGCCUGGAACUCCUUCCUGACCCCUGGAAAACCAGCCUGAGAGUCUCCUGGCAGGAAGUGUUCCCUGGUUCCUAGGGAGAGACAGCUGCUCACUGGUGGGAGGGCUCAGGCGUGGAGACCCCUAAGGCUAUGGGCUCCAGCUCUACAAGAUCCUUCAACAUCCUCAUCACUGGGCAGGCAUGGUAGUUGGGGCUCAUCCCCACAACUCUCACUCUGGGCACCAGAGUGGCUUGGCUGGUUAUCACCUUCUUCUGUGACCUGCUGCUGUUGUACGUGGACGAGGAAACCCAUUUCUCCUGGAGGACCAAGUCUGAGGAGGAGAGCUGCGGGCCUGCCUAGACCCUGGGCUAUACUUUGGAGGAUGGUGGCUGGAGACCCUCAUGUGCAGGCCUCCCCACCCCCACAUCUGGAUGCCCAGGUGCCUUAGAGGGGGCCCAGCACCUUCCCCCGCUGCUGCUGCUGGGAGCUGGAUGCCGUCACCAGGGUGGCCCUGGCACCCACUUGCUGGCCCAUUCCUGAGGCCUGUAGCCUUUCUCUGCUGGUUGGGGGUUCGGGACUGGGAAGGGUGGGAGCCCUGCCUUGGGGACUCAUGGAUGAAGCCCUAGCUGGACCAGGGCAGGGGUGUGGGGAGAAUUCCCCUGUUAGCUCCCAGACAGAUUGUCUGUUCCUCCCCCUACUCCAGCCUUGGCAGGAUGCUGCCUGGGGACCACAGAAGCAAGUUUUGUCUAGAGACCUGCAGGGGAACACAACGGCAGGGCAUGGGUCCAGUGGGGCUCCUGCUGGGUCUGGGUCUGGGUCUGGAGAGCGUUCUCUCAGCCUCUUCUCCAGUGUUCCCAGCAGCUCCCCACUCUCCAGCUGUCCCCACACUGGCUGUGGUCGACUCCGGCCAUCCCUGGCCCCCAGUCCUCCUCCCCCUGCCAGCACUCCCCUCACAGUAGAGCCCCUGCCCUCUCAGCAGCUCUGCCUGGGGGUCUGUGCAGCCAGAGUCCAAGGCAAGGGAGAAAGAAGCCUGACAGGAGGAGUUGUCUCAGCUGCUCUGGGGCUGGGUUCCUAGGGCAGGUUCCCUCCCAGGUCUGGGCCUCAUCCAUGGAGUGAGGAGUAUGGUGGGCAGAUGAUCCGACCCCCGAGGAGCCCAGGCAAGGACACAUGCACCUCUUGGGCCCAAACCUGCUCAGCUUGUGAGCACCAGCCCCUUCCUGGUGGCAGCCCUCGGGCUGUGGGGGGCUGGGAUAGGGGA